This 253-nucleotide ribosomal RNA is filed under the name uncultured bacterium. Its description in RNAcentral is "partial 16S ribosomal RNA". It matches the Rfam family "Bacterial small subunit ribosomal RNA", at positions 524 to 776 of the family's 1533-position model. The record is from RNAcentral.
UACGUAGGGUGCAAGCGUUGUCCGGAAUCAUUGGGCGUAAAGAGCGUGUAGGCGGCCAGAUAAGUCCGCUGUGAAAUCUCGAGGCUCAACUUCGAGCUGUCGGUGGAAACUGUCUGGCUAGAGUCCGGAAGAGGAGAAUGGAAUUCCUGGUGUAGCGGUGAAAUGCGCAGAUAUCAGGAAGAACACCCGUGGCGAAGGCGGUUCUCUGGGCCUGUGCUGACGCUGAGGAGCGAAAGCGUGGGGAGCGAACAGG